Non-coding RNA from Trichonephila clavata, 73 nucleotides. Lineage: Eukaryota; Metazoa; Arthropoda; Arachnida; Araneae; Nephilidae. The record is from the annotation of a GenBank genome assembly.
GUUCCUGUAGUGCAUUGGAUAGCGCGUUGGACUUCUUAUCCAAAGGGCUUGGGUUCGAUUCCCACCUGGGAUG